This 253-nucleotide ribosomal RNA is filed under the name uncultured bacterium. RNAcentral's name for it is "partial 16S ribosomal RNA". It matches the Rfam family "Bacterial small subunit ribosomal RNA", at positions 524 to 776 of the family's 1533-position model. The record is from RNAcentral.
UACGGGGGGGGCAAGCGUUGUUCGGAAUUACUGGGCGUAAAGGGUUCGUAGGUGGCCGGCUAAGUCAGACGUGAAAUCCCUCAGCUCAACUGGGGAACUGCGUCUGAGACUGGUCGGCUUGAGUGCAGGAGAGGAACGCGGAAUUCCAGGUGUAGCGGUGAAAUGCGUAGAUAUCUGGAGGAACACCGGUGGCGAAGGCGGCGACCUGGGUCGAGACUGACGCUGAGGCGCGAAAGCGUGGGGAGCAAACAGG